UGUUCCACGACUUUUCUAUCUCGCCUCUCUUUCUUCUCUCUCCUUCAUUUCAGUUUCCCUCUUGCCUCUCGCCUCUCGCCUCUUCAUCAAUCUUCUCUUCUGUGCCGCCUCUAUUUCUUCUCUUAUCUUCUCUGUCAAUUUCUCUUCAUCAAGAAGGACCAGAUCGAUGGCCAAGUUCAGAUCGGUUGUUUUCAUCAAUUCUCUUCUCUGGGUCAUCGGGUUUCGUUUGAAAUCUGAGUAUGGUGCCAUGGUGGUUGAAGUCUGAGCACGACCUCCGCCACCACCGCAAGGACCAGAUCAAUCUAUUUUUCUGAGAUAUUGGGUAUGAUGGUGCAUGAAGAAUCGUACUUGAUCUGAAGGGCAUGGGUUAUCAUGAUGUUGAUGACUUUGAUUAUACUUACAAAGCAUGUUCUCGAUGCGGUGGAAACAACAAGAAGGAAGAUGAGGGGCAGGGUAACAACUAACAAGAAGGCGAGUGCUAAAAUGUAAUCAGAUUACAAAUGUUGCUUCAAUGUUGUCAUUCAAAGGAAGUCCUUAUUGGAUGGCCCCCGAGUCAUGAAUUUUGUGAGGCUGUGCUUGCAAUGGAACCCAUCUGAGCAUGCUACUGCUUCUCAACUGCUAGACCACCCUUCCAUUAGAGAGCAAAUGACAACAAGAAGUUCGAACUAGUUAUGGUGUUGAAAACUAUAGGUUUGUGGAUAUGAAGCAAGCUGAUCCAUAGGGAGAUAUUCUGAAAUGGGAACUUCCCAAAUGGGAGAAAAUGUCCAAUGGCCUUGAUAAGGCUCCAACGGCCUUGUUUUUUAAUGUUAAUGAUUAGCUCUUUUAAUUUUUUUUA
This is a long non-coding RNA of Rosa chinensis, 835 nucleotides long. RefSeq lists it as uncharacterized. The record is from RefSeq and is a predicted model, not a curated record. Lineage: Eukaryota; Viridiplantae; Streptophyta; Magnoliopsida; Rosales; Rosaceae. The transcript has 5 exons.